Molecule: ribosomal RNA, 500 nt
Filed under: uncultured bacterium
Lineage: Bacteria
Description: bacterial SSU rRNA
Rfam family: Bacterial small subunit ribosomal RNA
Source: RNAcentral
AUUGAACGCUGGCGGCGUGCUUAACACAUGCAAGUCGAUCGGUAACAGGUGUAGCAAUACAUGCUGACGAGAGGCGGACGGGUGAGUAAUGCUUGGGAAUCUGCCUAUUAGUGGGGGACAACCCGGGGAAACUCGGGCUAAUACCGCAUACGCUCUACGGAGGAAAGCCGGGGACCGCAAGGCCUGGCGCUAAUAGAUGAGCCCAAGUCGGAUUAGCUAGUUGGUAGGGUAACGGCCUACCAAGGCGACAAUCCGUAGCUGGUCUGAGAGGACGACCAGCCACACCGGAACUGAGACACGGUCCGGACUCCUACGGGAGGCAGCAGUGGGGAAUAUUGGACAAUGGGGGCAACCCUGAUCCAGCGACGCCGCGUGGGUGAAGAAGGCCUGCGGGUUGUAAAGCCCUUUCGGUGGGAAGAAAGUCUCGACCUAAUACGUCGGGACCUUGACGUAACCCACUAAAGAAGCACCGGCUAACUCUGUGCCAGCCGCCGCCGUAA